UGAUGCGGUCAUACCAGGGCUACUACACCAGAUCCCAUCAGAACUUUGCAGUUAAGCGCCCUUGGGCCGGAAUAGUACUACCCUUGGGCCGGAAUAGUACUAGGAUGGGUGACCUCCCGGGAAGUCCCGGUGAUGCAUCCAA
Molecule: non-coding RNA, 142 nt
Organism: Marchantia paleacea
Lineage: Eukaryota; Viridiplantae; Streptophyta; Marchantiopsida; Marchantiales; Marchantiaceae
Source: the annotation of a GenBank genome assembly